Molecule: non-coding RNA, 2209 nt
Organism: Bemisia tabaci
Lineage: Eukaryota; Metazoa; Arthropoda; Insecta; Hemiptera; Aleyrodidae
Source: RefSeq, a predicted model, not a curated record
ACAGCUGUGCAAGCAUAACUACUCGUAACCGUUAGUAGUUCAUAUCAUUUAUCCUUCUAUAAUGGACGUGCCUGUAUGCUGUCUGAUAUUCUUUUUUACUGCGGCAGUUCCAGUGGGGUCCCGGAAUGGAACACGUCUUUUCCAUCCAGCCCGUGGGUGCGUGAAAGGAAGAAAUCUAAUGUUCAGAGAGCAUCCAUGCGUGACGUACUGUCGAGAAAGAUGGGGUGAGCCAACCAGUGAGCGAUAUCAGCCACCGUUUGCUUCUGCCAUUUGCAGAUUCCGCCGAUGUUUAUGUACCAUCAAUGUUUGGUAUUGGCCACUCCUCACGAGAUCAGAAAAAGCCAGGCAUAUAUGUUUUUUUGAAAUCGUGUGCGCAAGAGUAUUCAGGAAACUUGAGAGUCUUUGUCAAAACACUACAAAACGUUGCGUCCAUGAAACUCCGUGACGCACAUGAAUUAUAUAUUUACAGUGAAAUCACCAGGCCACGUACCUCUUUUGAGGCGUUUAAAAAUGUCCGUUCCCAUUUCAUUACAAAUGAAUACUAUUCCUUGAAGUUUCCACAACAUUUCCUUUGCCUUUAGAAGAAAAAUCACGGAAGUUUUCAAGAAAAGACGUUGAGUAGUUUUCCAUUCACAAGAUAAAGUAUGGGUCUGGUAGAUUUACCGUUCGGUAAGCACGGUUGCACAAUCGAGAUGUGCACAGUCUGAAGCCACCAUGAUACUGCCGAAAACAUAGUAGAGGGGUCCAUGCACGGACCACCAUUUAUAUAUACGUUUCAGAAAAAUAUUCUGUCAUAGAGCAGAUUCACAGGAUUCUUCCUGGGACCGCUAUAUAGAUUCUGGACAUUUUCUCUGAUACUCUUAACGUGGUUUUCGUGUGAUUUUGCCCGUUAAAAUAGUCUACUCAGUUAGAUGUACCUCAUGUCACAUGCGAAAAAACGCACUUGAAGCAGAAUAUACUCUGCAGAGAGCAAGUAUUGAACUCAAUUCCUGAAUGACGUAAUAAUAAAAACUGCAUUUGAGGUCAAUGAGAUAGAAUGUAGAGGGCGAAUGUCACCAUUUAUGAUUUAAAAUUAUACUUUCUAUUAUAAGGAGGAACAAAAUCCAAAGGUGCAUUUUUUAAAGUACCCAUCUGCAAGGCGACUGAAAAUUGUUAUAAAUUGUCAGCCAAAUCUACAUGGCGGCUUUCUGCUUAAAUAGCAUCUUUACUAGCGUUAUAUUAAAGAUAACAAACGUUGGACAAAGAGGAUGACAUCUCCCGCCCUUGUUUAUUUUACGUUACUCAAUUGGCAGAAAAUAAUAUCCCAACCAUACGACGUACAACGGUGUGGUGUCAUCGGGGUAACACGUUUAUCGCCGUAAAAGGGAACGAACGUGAAAACGCCUUCAAAUAGGCCUAUAUGCAACUUUAACAACCAUUAAGUAGCAAUAGUUGUAUCCAAGCGCCGUCAUUUACGGAGCGUUGGGUCAAACAAUUAAUGAUGCACUACGGGUCAAUUUAAUAGAGCCCCGCUGCCAUUCUUAGGAAAACCAGCGCAUGAUUUUGUUGCCAAAUUUCUACCUGUGAAACAUUAAUGUUUUCAGAAGAAAAUUGAACGUUUUUCCUGAAAAUUUUUAGAAACGCUAGAAUUCCAGAGGUAUAAACAGGAUAGUUUUUAAAGAAAGCUGUUAUUAAUGUUUCCAUGAUCGAGAGACAAAAUGAUGCCAAUCCCAAAGCUCUAUACAACCAUGACGAAUAUUGUUCUUAAAAUGACGAAUACCUGUGUGGAAUAAAUCACUGUGCGGAAAAGUCCGUGGACCUGGCGUGAUCCUGUCAAUUUGUAUUAAUUUGAAUAAUUAUUACACGCCAAUCACAUUUUUUUUCGUCUUCAGCUGUUGGGUUUUUCUCUUGUAAGUUUGAUUCUCACUAAAUGUUAAUCCUGGAUUUUGAUCCAUUAGAGACAUUCAAUACUUUUAAUCAAAAACGAACAAGCAAGUUGUAUUAGACUUGUUUGAUAUAUUCUAAUAAAUUCUUUUUUCACAUGGGACUUACUUAAGAGCAAAUUUCUAUAGUGCAGGAAAGAUAUGCAAAUCAAAAUUUACGUCCAAGACACUCAUAGUGAGACAGCUCAAUGCGUCCAUCUUAACUGCAAUCGAUUUCUGUGAAAUUCUAAAUGUAUCACAUUAUUUGGAUUGAGUUUAAGAGAAAAGAAACAGUUCAACAGCCGAAA